UACAGAGGGUGCAAGCGUUGAUCGGAAUUACUGGGCGUAAAGCGUGCGUAGACGGUUACAUAAGUCGGGUGUGAAAGCCCCGGGCUCAACCUGGGAACUGCAUUUGAGACUGCUCUGCUCGGGUGCGGAAGAGGGAAGCGGAAUUUCCGGUGUAGCGGUGAAAUGCGUAGAUAUCGGAAGGAACACCAGUGGCGAAAGCGGCUUCCUGGUCCGACACCGACGUUCAGGCACGAAAGCGUGGGGAGCAAACAGG
This 253-nucleotide ribosomal RNA is filed under the name uncultured bacterium. RNAcentral describes it as "partial 16S ribosomal RNA". It matches the Rfam family "Bacterial small subunit ribosomal RNA", at positions 524 to 776 of the family's 1533-position model. The record is from RNAcentral.